CUCACCAUGGAUGAUGAUAUCGCUGCACUUGUUGUCGACAACGGCUCCGGCAUGUGCAAGGCCGGCUUCAUGGGCGACGAUGCUCCCCAGGCCGUCUUCCCCUCCAUGGUAGGGCGCCCCAGGCACGAGGGCGUGAUGGUGGGCAUGGGUCAGAGGACUCCUACGUGGGUGACGAGGCCCAGAGCAAGAGAGGCAUCCUGACCCUGAAGUACCCCAUCGAGCACAGCACUGUCACCAACUGGGACGACAUGGAGAAGAUCUGGCACCACACUUUCUACAACGAGCUGCAUGUGGCUCCUGAGGAGCACCCCGUGCUGCUUACUGAGACCCCCCUGAACCCUAAGGCCAACCGCAAGAAGAUGACCCAGAUCAUGUUUUGACACCUUCAACACCCCAGCCACGUGUGUGGCCAUCCAGACCGUGCUUUUCUUGAACGCCUCUGGCCGUACCACUGGCAUCGUGAUGGACUCCGGUGACGGGGUCACCCACACUGUGCCCAUCUAUGAGGGGUAUAUGCCCUCCCCGAGGACCUGGCUGGCCGCGGCCUGACUACCUCAUAAAGAUCCUCACCGAGCACGGCUACAGCUUCACCACCACAGCUGAGCAGGAAAUCGUGCGUGACAUCAAGGAGAAGCUGUGCUACGUCGUCCUGGACUUGGAGCAGGAGAUGGCCACGGCGGCCUCCAGCUCCUCCCUGGAGAAGAGCUAUGAGCUGCCCGAUGGUCAGGUCAUCACCAUCUACAACAAGCGGUUCCACUGCCCUCAGGCGCUCUUCCAGCCUUCUUUCCUGGGCAUGGGAUCUUGUGGGAUCCACGAACCUACCUUUAACUGCAUCAUGAAAUGUGACGUGGACAACCGCAAAGACCUGUAUGCCCACACAGUGCUGACUGGAGGUACCACCACGUACCCUGGCAUCGCUGACAGGAUGCUGAAGGAGAUCACCGCCCUGGCACCCAGCACGGUGAAGAUCAAGAUCAUUGCUCCUCCCAGGCGCAAGUACUCCGUGUGGAUCGGUGGCUCCAUCCUGGCGUCGCUGUCCACCUUCCAGCAGAUGUAGAUCAGCAAGCAGGAGUAGACGAGUCCGGCCCCUCCAUCGUCCACCGCAAAUGCUUCUAG
Saimiri boliviensis boliviensis (Bolivian squirrel monkey) is the source of this 1116-nucleotide non-coding RNA. NCBI's taxonomy places the organism in Eukaryota, Metazoa, Chordata, Mammalia, Primates, Cebidae. The record is from RefSeq and is a predicted model, not a curated record.